RNAcentral lists this small RNA (107 nucleotides) under Marmota monax (woodchuck). The record is from RNAcentral. Lineage: Eukaryota; Metazoa; Chordata; Mammalia; Rodentia; Sciuridae.
GCCAGAUGCAGUAGUAUAUGCCUGUUAUCCUAGCAACUUGGGAGGCUGAGGCAGGAGGAUUGCAAGUUUGAGGGCAGCCUCAGCAACUUUGUGAGACCCUGUCUCAA